RNAcentral lists this ribosomal RNA (762 nucleotides) under Micractinium sp. ZSLT-11-2. Its description in RNAcentral is "eukaryotic LSU rRNA". The stretch from base 302 to 455 matches the Rfam family "5.8S ribosomal RNA". The record is from RNAcentral. Lineage: Eukaryota; Viridiplantae; Chlorophyta; Trebouxiophyceae; Chlorellales; Chlorellaceae.
ACUAACCAUCGAUCACUCUGGUACCAACCGUCACCCCCUUGUGUGCGGCUGCGGGCGUGCUUUGCACGCCUCUGCCAGUCGCCGGGCGCCGGUCCCCUUGCUGGGGCUCUCCGUAGCCGCAGCCAGGUCCGGCGGGCGUCGCCCCCCGGCGGUGUCCCCCCAUUCCUUUUCGGAGGGUGGGGGGCCCGCUGCGGGUGGAGGCGUCGGUAAUUCGUAACCAACCCAACCCACCCCAAACCUCAACCACACCUGAAGCAAACCUGUGGUGGCAGCGCUUGUCGCUCCACCCCAAACCAAAGACAACUCUCAACAACGGAUAUCUUGGCUCCCGUAUCGAUGAAGAACGCAGCGAAAUGCGAUACGUAGUGUGAAUUGCAGAAUUCCGUGAACCAUCGAAUCUUUGAACGCAAAUUGCGCCCGAGGCUUCGGCCGAGGGCAUGUCUGCCUCAGCGUCGGCUUACCCCCUCGCCUCCCCCUCCUCUUUUGAGUAGUGGGAGUGCGGACCUGGCCUUCCCGGCUCCACUGUCUCGGUCUUACCGCCGUUUCAGUGCCCGGGUCGGCUGAAGUGCAGAGGCUUGAGCAUGGACCCCGUUUGCAGGGCAAUGGCUUGGUAGGUAGCUCGCGCUACGCAACCUGCCGUCGCCCGAGGGGCCUUUGCUGGCGGCCCAGCAGGAAUCCGGGUGCGGCCUUGCCGCCGCCCCGGACGCUUCAUCACUUCGACCUGAGCUCAGGCAAGACUACCCGCUGAAUUUAAAGCAUAUU